This 420-nucleotide ribosomal RNA is filed under the name bacterium. Its description in RNAcentral is "partial 16S ribosomal RNA". It matches the Rfam family "Bacterial small subunit ribosomal RNA", at positions 355 to 776 of the family's 1533-position model. The record is from RNAcentral.
UGGGGGAUAUUGCACAAUGGGCGAAAGCCUGAUGCAGCGACGCCGCGUGGGGGAUGAAGGCUUUCGGGUUGUAAACCUCUUUCGCUAUCGAACAAGGCCCGCUUAGGGUGGGUUGAGGGUAGGUGGAGAAGAAGCGCCGGCUAACUACGUGCCAGCAGCCGCGGUAAUACAUAGGGCGCGAGCGUUGUCCGGAAUUAUUGGGCGUAAAGGGCUUGUAGGCGGCUUGUUGCGCCUGCUGUGAAAACGCGGGGCUUAACUUCGCGCGUGCAGUGGGUACGGGCAGGCUUGAGUGUGGUAGGGGUGACUGGAAUUCCAGGUGUAGCGGUGGAAUGCGCAGAUAUCUGGAGGAACACCGAUGGCGAAGGCAGGUCACUGGGCCAUUACUGACGCUGAGGAGCGAAAGCAUGGGUAGCGAACAGG